GUGUUGCGCAGCACACUCCCAUGGAUAUCAAUAGCAGCGUAGGGUACUACUCUUGUGGAUCUUAGAAUUUCAAACGUUUUUGCAAUGAACAUAGAAAGAACCAAUUUUUCUUUAACAAGUGUUUCUUCACAGGGACCUUAGCAGUUCAGGGGUCUUCCAGAAUUGCAGUAGAGGGCAAAAACACUGGACUUUGACUGGCCAUGCUGCUAUUGUUAUGACUCCCGAUUGUAAGUAACACUGUUGGCUUGGCUGGCUGCUCCUGCAGUAGAAAGAUUGAAUUAGGGCUCGAGAUACAGAGUAUGUGGAGUUUGGGUCAUGAUUAGUCCACUGGAACUCAGAUUCAUACCUGUAGCAGGCUGUCGGAUGUAUAUACUGUGUAUUUUCCGAGAGAAACAUUCUGAAAAUGUUGGUGUGUAAGUGACAACAUCACUGCUGUAUAGUAUAUAACUGGCAGUUGAUUUCAAGCACAAUUUAUCAAUUACAGGAUUAUUUUGGCUCGGACAAUUCGACGACUUGUUUAGCAUCCAAAACAAACAAAAUCUAUAACAUUUUGGGUUGUGAUAUUUCAAA
Molecule: long non-coding RNA, 570 nt
Filed under: Linum usitatissimum (flax)
Lineage: Eukaryota; Viridiplantae; Streptophyta; Magnoliopsida; Malpighiales; Linaceae
Description: long non-coding RNA (LUSI_LNC007305)
Source: RNAcentral